RNAcentral lists this ribosomal RNA (543 nucleotides) under uncultured bacterium. RNAcentral's name for it is "bacterial SSU rRNA". It matches the Rfam family "Bacterial small subunit ribosomal RNA", at positions 777 to 1314 of the family's 1533-position model. The record is from RNAcentral.
AAUAGAUACCCCGGUAGUCCACGCCGUAAACCGAUGAAUGCUAGGUGUUAGGGGUUUCGAUACCCGUUGGUGCCGAAGUUAACACAUUAAGCAUUCCGCCUGGGGAGUACGGCCGCAAGGCUGAAACUCAAAGGAAUUGACGGGGACCCGCACAAGCAGUGGAGUAUGUGGUUUAAUUCGAAGCAACGCGAAGAACCUUACCAGGUCUUGACAUCCCCCCUGACCGGCGCAGAGAUGUGCCUUUCCUUCGGGACAGGGGAGACAGGUGGUGCAUGGUUGUCGUCAGCUCGUGUCGUGAGAUGUUGGGUUAAGUCCCGCAACGAGCGCAACCCUUGACUUUAGUUGCCAGCAAGUAAAGUUGGGCACUCUAGAGUGACUGCCGGUGACAAACCGGAGGAAGGUGGGGAUGACGUCAAAUCAUCAUGCCCCUUAUGACCUGGGCUACACACGUACUACAAUGGCCGGUACAACGGGAAGCGAAGGAGCGAUCUGGAGCGAAUCCGUUUAAAGCCGGUCUCAGUUCGGAUUGCAGGCUGCAACUCG